This 433-nucleotide ribosomal RNA is filed under the name uncultured bacterium. RNAcentral's name for it is "partial 16S ribosomal RNA". It matches the Rfam family "Bacterial small subunit ribosomal RNA", at positions 29 to 507 of the family's 1533-position model. The record is from RNAcentral.
AACGAACGCUGGCGGCAUGCCUAACACAUGCAAGUCGAACGAGACCUUCGGGUCUAGUGGCGCACGGGUGCGUAACGCGUGGGAACCUGCCCUUAGGUUCGGAAUAACUCCCCGAAAGGGGUGCUAAUACCGGAUAAUGUCUUCGGACCAAAGAUUUAUCGCCUUUGGAUGGGCCCGCGUUGGAUUAGCUAGUUGGUAGGGUAAAAGCCUACCAAGGCGACGAUCCAUAGCUGGUCUGAGAGGAUGAUCAGCCACACUGGGACUGAGACACGGCCCAGACUCCUACGGGAGGGAGCAGUGGGGAAUAUUGGACAAUGGGCGAAAGGCUGAUCCAGCAAUGCCGCGUGAGUGAUGAAGGCCUUAGGGUUGUAAAGCUCUUUUACCCGGGAUGAUAAUGACAGUACCGGGAGAAUAAGCUCCGGCUAACUCCGUG